UAUGAAGCUUUACUAUAACUUGACAUUGACUUUGGGCUCCUUUUGCGCAGUCUAGGUGGGAAGGCUAUGAUAUCUUGUUUCCGGGCAAGAUGGAGCCGUUUUUGAGAGACCACUCUGAAAGAGCUAAAAUUCUAAUAGUGAUCCUUGAAUCAGGACACUUGACAGUGUCAGGCGGGUAGUUUUUCUGGGGCGGAAUCCUCCUAAAAAGUAACGGAGGUGCGCAAAGGUUCCCUCAGGCUGGACGGAAAUCAGCUGUAGAGUGUAAAGGCAUAAGGGAGCUUGACUGCAAGACCUACAAGUCGAGCAGGGGCGAAAGCCGGCCUUAGUGAUCCGACGGUACCGCGUGGAAGGGCCGUCGCUCAACGGAUAAAAGUUACUCUAG
This 382-nucleotide unclassified non-coding RNA is filed under the name Parietochloris pseudoalveolaris. RNAcentral's name for it is "Ettlia pseudoalveolaris contains 16S-23S intergenic spacer region". It matches the Rfam family "Bacterial large subunit ribosomal RNA", at positions 2092 to 2471 of the family's 2925-position model. Lineage: Eukaryota; Viridiplantae; Chlorophyta; Trebouxiophyceae; Trebouxiales; Trebouxiaceae. The record is from RNAcentral.